UGAGGGUCGAAACAGGUUCACCAAACCUAGAGUGAUUGCAACCUUAAUGAUAUGAGAUACUUUUGAUUUUGAAGAAGUAGCGGAUGAAUCGACUCGUGUUUUGUUGUGCUUGUCUCUACAUGCUUCAAUGUAUCAUUUUCCCUUGCCUUAUCUGUUCUUCAGGCAGAUGUGGUAUUUUCUCUAGAAGCAUAAGAUGUUGAAACAAUGGGUACUUCGAGAGCAGUGCUAGGUAAGCAAUCAGGGAAGGGUUCCAAGCAGUUGGUUCCAGAUUGGAAGAUUGAUACCAAGUGCUGUCUGAUUGUUUUCUUUCUCCUUGUCCCGUAGGUAAAAACAAGAACAAAUAAAAGAAUAGGGAGAAAGCAUCAUAUGAAAUACUCGUGCUUUCGAAGAAAUGGUGGCGAUUUGACAGCGUUGCACAACGAGGCUUUGUUCUUCGACGAUAGUGCCGCCAAUAUGUUUGUUGAAACUUCU
Molecule: long non-coding RNA, 471 nt
Filed under: Malus domestica (apple)
Lineage: Eukaryota; Viridiplantae; Streptophyta; Magnoliopsida; Rosales; Rosaceae
Description: long non-coding RNA (MDOM_LNC019713)
Source: RNAcentral